ACCUGGCCAGGCAUUCCAACUGUCCAUCCAAGUACUUUAUCGGACAAUUGGUAUCCCUGUCAAGGUCU
Molecule: microRNA precursor, 68 nt
Filed under: Caenorhabditis remanei
Lineage: Eukaryota; Metazoa; Nematoda; Chromadorea; Rhabditida; Rhabditidae
Description: microRNA crm-mir-358 precursor
Gene: crm-mir-358
Source: miRBase by way of RNAcentral